UACGUAGGUGACAAGCGUUGUCCGGAUUUACUGGGCGUAAAGAGCGCGCAGGCGGUCGAUCAAGUCGAGUGUGAAAGCCCCCGGCUCAACUGGGGAGGGUCAUUCGAUACUGAUCGACUCGAAGGCAGGAGAGGGUAGUGGAAUUCCCGGUGUAGUGGUGAAAUUCGUAGAUAUUCGCAAGAACACCAGUGGCGAAGGCGGCUCACUGGCCCGGUACUGACGCUGAGGUGCGAAAGCGUGGGGAGCAAACAGG
Molecule: ribosomal RNA, 253 nt
Filed under: uncultured bacterium
Lineage: Bacteria
Description: partial 16S ribosomal RNA
Rfam family: Bacterial small subunit ribosomal RNA
Source: RNAcentral